This 197-nucleotide unclassified non-coding RNA is filed under the name plant metagenome. Its description in RNAcentral is "partial contains small subunit ribosomal RNA, internal transcribed spacer 1, and 5.8S ribosomal RNA". The record is from RNAcentral.
UCUCCGUUGGUGAACCAGCGGAGGGAUCACUACCGAGUGCAAACUCAUAACCCUUUGUGAACCUAUAUCUGUUGCUUCGGCGGCUCGCUCUCGGGCGAGCCCGCCGGUAAUAUCAGCAUCUCUGUUUGAACCCGACGAUACUUCUGAGUGUUCUUAGCGAACAGUUAAAACUUUUAACAACGGAUCUCUUGGCUCUA